AGGCAGGAAGAGGAAGUGCGCGGGGGCGGCGGGUCUGUGCGCGGCGCCGGCGGUGGUGAUGUCUCCAGGUUAAUUUCCACUGUCAGGAUGUGAGAUUUGUGCUGAAAAUGUUACAGUGAAGAGGAACGUGUCAAAAAGCAAUGGAUUUUGUUAGAGGAAGAGAUUGACUAUGGGAAAAUGAGAAAAUACAAGUUAUGAGAAGACUUGUUUUCAAAGCUGCAAUGUGUCUGUAUGUUUAUAAAAGACCACUUUGAAGUAACACUUCUACAUCCUCCAUUGGACUGAGGUUUCAUGAGGAGUCAUGGCCUAGCACUCUCUUAAUGUCAACCAUGCCAAUCACUUUGCAUGGGGUAAGCUGGGCUGGCAAGUUUGGGGAAGCAUUACCACAGAGGGGAAGUGCCCUUCCCACCACAGCUGUUGCAGACUCAAGUCUUUUCUCAUUUGCUGAAAUCCUACCCCACAAGGUUCUAUGCUUUGAAUUUUUGAAAAGGAGAGAAUGGAUCAUUUAUUGAAGUGUAAGGAACAAUCAGUUCAUAAAGAUAUACCUAUAAAUAAAUUAACACUUUCCUCUUGUGGUUAGAUUAUCUUAUAAAUUGCCCAUGAGUGUUAAUAAUUGGCAGUGUUCUAAAAUCUCCAAAUCAUACCAAAGCAAGAAAAAAAACAAGCAUAGCAAACAUUAAAUCUGGUAGCUCUACCACUGGAACAAGUGGUGAUGAAGUGGGAGCUCUGAAGGUGAAAUUAUUCUAUCCUGUUUCCAGUUAGAACCCUCCUGAUCUCCCUUUUGGGUUGGCUCAGCUCACUGCCUGCAUUUUUCCUCAGCACUCAGCAGAUGUUCCACAUUCCUGGCAUCUCUUAACUUCAUGGGGUCUCCACUGCACUUUUGGCUUCAUUCUCACAAUGAUUCACACUGACUUUCCAAGGGCAUAAUGCCUGAUCUCUCAAAAUCUGGAUGGCAGUGUUUCUGACCUCACAGGUCCAGCAUUCUUUGUGCUCAUUAAACCAGUACCACAUGCAUGACACCUAGUUCUGCCACCAGCAUCAGCAGUUAGAUAGGCCCCCUUUAAUCAUGGAUGCACGGUCUCUGAGUCCCUGGAUGGCUGAACAUGGUGAACAGAAUCCCAGGGAAUCAUUUCCCUUGUUAACUAUUCUUAAUUUGUGAACCAAGGUCCCUAUUCUCAAUUGAAAGUGUUCAGGUUUGCACUCUUGAAGCUGUGAAGGGUGGGGCUUUCCUGAUUUAUGAGAUACACUCAAUGCACCUUUUCUAUCAUCCAGGUAAAAGGUACAUGGUUUCUUUUUAAUGCUAAUCUUUGUAGCCAACAAGGUUUCCUUGACCAAAACUUUAUAGGCCCCACCUUUGUAGGCCUCAGUAUUUCAGAUCUCAAAUUUACAGGCACUUCCUGACCACCAAUAAAAAUUUUCAAAUUAUUUAGCUCUGCUUUUUGCUCAUGGUUGUCAUGGUAGAUAGGGCUGAAAUCCUCCAGCAGUGUCCAUGCCACAUCCUCAAUAUUGGGCUGCCUUGACAUUUCUUUCACUAGUUUAGUUCAACCACUGCCCUGAAGCUUAGUCUUCUGCAGAGUGCCAAGACAUGAGCAAAAUGAAGGUAAUAUUUCUACCAGAUGCACAUGGUCUAGAGUCCAGCUGCUGUUGGAAUCCUUUUUCCCAACUGAAGCCUUCUGACUUUGUUUUUUAUCAUCUGCAUUUUUAUAAGCACUCUGGUCUUUUGAGCUCUGAAUGGAAUCUACCAUUAAGCUUGGUUACAGAAUUCUAGGAUUUCUCUAGCCAGCAUCUACAAACCAUUCCAAACUCCUCCCGUGAAGCAGUUCCAAAGGGCUCUAACAGUGAAGACCCUACCUUUCUGGGAUCAAAGUUUGUCUUAGGCACUUUUUUCCUCAUCCCUGGAACAAAAUACAAACCUACAGGUUAAAUGAGUAGUUUAUUGG
This is a long non-coding RNA of Chinchilla lanigera (long-tailed chinchilla), 1940 nucleotides long. RefSeq lists it as uncharacterized. Lineage: Eukaryota; Metazoa; Chordata; Mammalia; Rodentia; Chinchillidae. The transcript is spliced from 4 exons. The record is from RefSeq and is a predicted model, not a curated record.